UACGUAGGGUGCAAGCGUUGUCCGGAAUUAUUGGGCGUAAAGAGCUCGUAGGCGGUUUGUCGCGUCUGCUGUGAAAACCCGAGGCUCAACCUCGGGCCUGCAGUGGGUACGGGCAGACUAGAGUGCGGUAGGGGAGAUUGGAAUUCCUGGUGUAGCGGUGGAAUGCGCAGAUAUCAGGAGGAACACCGGUGGCGAAGGCGGCUACCUGGACAGAAACUGACGCUGAGGCGCGAAAGCUAGGGGAGCAAACAGG
This 253-nucleotide ribosomal RNA is filed under the name uncultured bacterium. Its description in RNAcentral is "partial 16S ribosomal RNA". It matches the Rfam family "Bacterial small subunit ribosomal RNA", at positions 524 to 776 of the family's 1533-position model. The record is from RNAcentral.